This 142-nucleotide antisense RNA is filed under the name Morganella morganii. RNAcentral's name for it is "sok antitoxin (CssrC)". It matches the Rfam family "sok antitoxin (CssrC)". From Rfam's summary of the family: Also identified in Shigella as CssrC. The record is from RNAcentral. Lineage: Bacteria; Pseudomonadati; Pseudomonadota; Gammaproteobacteria; Enterobacterales; Morganellaceae.
GGGUGCUUGAAUCAUUUCGGUUCAGGCAUAGCCUUGAACCAGAAAGACGAAAGCCCCGAAUCGCGAUGUUAAUCUCAAUCCGAGGCAGUCUACUAACCGUCAAUUAGAUUCUGUCUCCUUUUACCCAAGGAGUCAAGAGGAA